ACGAACGCUGGCGGCAUGCCUCACCCAUGCAAGUCGAACGAGACCUUCGGGUCUAGUGGCGCACGGGUGCGUAACGCGUGGGAACCUGCCCUUAGGUUCGGAAUAACUCCCCGAAAGGGGUGCUAAUACCGGAUAAUGUCUUCGGACCAAAGAUUUAUCGCCUUUGGAUGGGCCCGCGUUGGAUUAGCUAGUUGGUAGGGUAAAAGCCUACCAAGGCGACGAUCCAUAGCUGGUCUGAGAGGAUGAUCAGCCACACUGGGACUGAGACACGGCCCAGACUCCUACGGGAGGCAGCAGUGGGGAAUAUUGGACAAUGGGCGAAAGCCUGAUCCAGCAAUGCCGCGUGAGUGAUGAAGGCCUUAGGGUUGUAAAGCUCUUUUACCCGGGAUGAUAAUGACAGUACCGGGAGAAUAAGCUCCGGCUAACUCCGUG
This 432-nucleotide ribosomal RNA is filed under the name uncultured bacterium. Its description in RNAcentral is "partial 16S ribosomal RNA". It matches the Rfam family "Bacterial small subunit ribosomal RNA", at positions 29 to 507 of the family's 1533-position model. The record is from RNAcentral.